This 460-nucleotide ribosomal RNA is filed under the name uncultured bacterium. Its description in RNAcentral is "partial 16S ribosomal RNA". It matches the Rfam family "Bacterial small subunit ribosomal RNA", at positions 338 to 795 of the family's 1533-position model. The record is from RNAcentral.
CCUACGGGAGGCAGCAGUGAGGAAUAUUGGUCAAUGGACGAGAGUCUGAACCAGCCAAGUAGCGUGAAGGAUGACUGCCCUAUGGGUUGUAAACUUCUUUUAUAUGGGAAUAAAAUGUUCCACGUGUGGGAUUUUGUAUGUACCAUAUGAAUAAGGAUCGGCUAACUCCGUGCCAGCAGCCGCGGUAAUACGGAGGAUCCGAGCGUUAUCCGAAUUUAUUGGGUUUAAAGGGAGCUUAGGUGGAUUGUUAAGUCAGUUGUGAAAGUUUGCGGCUCAACCGUAAAAUUGCAGUUGAAACUGGCAGUCUUGAGUACAGUAGAGGUGGGCGGAAUUCGUGGUGUAGCGGUGAAAUGCUUAGAUAUCACGAAGAACUCCGAUUGCGAAGGCAGUUCACUGGACUGCAACUGACACUGAGGCUCGAAAGUGUGGGUAUCAAACAGGAUUAGAUACCCGAGUAGUC